GGCGGUUCUUGGGUGACACACCCCAGAAUCGGGCUCCCUCCUCUCUGGUUCCGGGUGCAUCACUCCGAGAACCACA
This is a non-coding RNA of Myotis davidii, 76 nucleotides long. NCBI's taxonomy places the organism in Eukaryota, Metazoa, Chordata, Mammalia, Chiroptera, Vespertilionidae. The record is from Rfam.